RNAcentral lists this ribosomal RNA (422 nucleotides) under uncultured bacterium. RNAcentral describes it as "bacterial SSU rRNA". It matches the Rfam family "Bacterial small subunit ribosomal RNA", at positions 28 to 427 of the family's 1533-position model. The record is from RNAcentral.
GACGAGCGCNGGCGGCGUGCUUAACACAUGCAAGUCGAACGAAGAGCGACGGAAGCUUGCUUCUAUCAAUCUUAGUGGCGAACGGGUGAGUAACGCGUAAUCAACCUGCCCUUCAGAGGGGGACAACAGUUGGAAACGACUGCUAAUACCGCAUACGAUCUAAUCUCGGCAUCGAGGAUGGAUGAAAGGUGGCCUCUACAUGUAAGCUAUCACUGAAGGAGGGGAUUGCGUCUGAUUAGCUAGUUGGAGGGGUAACGGCCCACCAAGGCGAUGAUCAGUAGCCGGUCUGAGAGGAUGAACGGCCACAUUGGGACUGAGACACGGCCCAGACUCCUACGGGAGGCAGCAGUGGGGAAUCUUCCGCAAUGGACGAAAGUCUGACGGAGCAACGCCGCGUGAGUGAUGACGGCCUUCGGGUUGUA